GCUGCUUGCUUUGGCAGCACACUAGAAUGGGAACAAUACGUAGAAGAUUAGCAUGGCCUCUUUGACAAGCAAAUUCAUAAGCGUAACGAGAGGCUCUU
Molecule: small nuclear RNA, 98 nt
Filed under: Mesocricetus auratus (golden hamster)
Lineage: Eukaryota; Metazoa; Chordata; Mammalia; Rodentia; Cricetidae
Source: RNAcentral